ACUGAAAGCAUUCCUGUGACCCUUUCUUGCUACCUGGCAGAUUAAUUAUGAGAGUUUUCCCUCUGAUUCCACAUACAGGUCUCUGGGGUGACAUCUCGUGGUGCAAACCCUGUUCCUCCAGUUGUUAAAAUCAAAUUAAGUUCCUUUUCAUCACACCAAUCUAUCAGCGUCUCCUUGAUUUCUUCUAUUUCAUCUGGCACUAUCUUGUAUGCAGAUAUAGUCCCACCCAACAAAGAAGGGUCCUGGACCAGAUCUUUAAGGUUUAUCCCACUACGAUCCUCGGCAAGGUUCCUGAAGCAACUGUCACUCACUGUGAGCACCCCGACGCGGAUCUGGUGAUCGUGGUUCGUUAGAAUCAUCCCCUCCG
This 367-nucleotide long non-coding RNA is filed under the name Gallus gallus (chicken). Lineage: Eukaryota; Metazoa; Chordata; Aves; Galliformes; Phasianidae. The record is from RNAcentral.